This 411-nucleotide ribosomal RNA is filed under the name Triticum aestivum (bread wheat). Its description in RNAcentral is "partial small subunit ribosomal RNA". Lineage: Eukaryota; Viridiplantae; Streptophyta; Magnoliopsida; Poales; Poaceae. The record is from RNAcentral.
AUGACAUUUGUGGAGGUCUGUGAAAACAAAUUGAUGCUCCAAAAUGAUUAUGUUUUUCCUGUUCUCAACGAAUGUCAUUCCAUCAGAAAAUUUUUGUAUGCUGGUAAAACAAUCAUCAAUGUUUAUCACAAAGAGAUCAGAUUUUUCUUUUUGGAUUUUACCGUUCAUACGGGUGCAUUUGAGCUCGCGAUCAGACUUUUUUUUUAUUUUACCGUUCAUACCGGUGCAUCUGAGCUCGCGAUCAGACAUUUAUUUUGGAUUUUUUUUUCUGGAGCGUGCUUUUCGUGUGCUUCAAUCUUGAUAGGCCAUAGUUCGACACUCUGCACUGACACGGAGCACCCACAAGCUUUUGGAGGUGAUGACUGCUUAUGUGAUCAUGCACAACCGUGGAGGAUGACCGUGAUGACAUGA